This is a non-coding RNA of Ciona intestinalis (vase tunicate), 1769 nucleotides long. The record is from RefSeq and is a predicted model, not a curated record. NCBI's taxonomy places the organism in Eukaryota, Metazoa, Chordata, Ascidiacea, Phlebobranchia, Cionidae.
AAUAUCUGUGGAAAUACAGUUUUAACGAGGAUAAAGGAAUCGCUAAGGGUAAAACAAAAGGCCGACUGACACUGCCAGUAACAAAUAUCCUGAUCAUUUGUUUGUAAUAAUAAAUAUUAUUUACUAAAGUACGUAUUUCCUUCUGAGUCAGGAUGUAUUCUAGAUCAAAACUUCCUGAAAAACAACCGCAUCCUUUACUCAUUGUACCGCGAUCUGUCUGGGUAGUAAAACACUUUUUUGGUGUUUCACGCCUGCAGUGAGAUUUUGAAUCUAAGCAUGUCCUGAAGAGCGAUAAAUGACAUCAUUACGACUAGCAUGUUAUCAAAGGAAACUGAUGCACGAAGCCGGAUGUGCUGCUACCACUGAUUAAUCUACGCAGCUACAUUGCUUACCUAAUAACACUCAAGCCACUAAAACGAAAACACCACUGAGAAGCCUAAAGAAAUGUCAAACUAUUGUUGUUGCGACCAUUUACACUGCCAUAAAACGAUCGUUGCGUAAACUGUAAGAUCUAAACAGCUUCAGGCACCUAACGCUCGAACCACCAUUUGCACGUUCGUAUGACGUCAUUUUCCCACGUCUCCGGUCUGUCGACCUGCAUGUUAUAUAUUUAAGCGAAACAGCGGCAGUCAGCGCAUGCCCAAAUUCGGAGCGUGGCUCGCUUUCAGCGCUCACUUCAGCAUAAUAGCGCUGUACAUUUACUCAUAACAGAAAACCUGCUACAAGCUGCUUAAUGCGUGUAAUGCGCAUAUCUCUCGAUCCAAAAAACUGCAUUGACUGAACUAAUUCGUGGUAAACUAUUCUACGAACCAAAUUUAAAGAAAAUACACGAAUAGACGCGUAUUAGACCUGUAUUUCACUAAUUAAACCCAUAAUGUAUAACGGCUACCGGAAAACAGAGAGACGUUACGUCAUAAGUAAGUCACAUACUUGAGAAAAGGAAGCCUAUCAUUAAACCGGCAUCGUUCGGUCACUGAGCCAAGACCGAUUCUCCCAAUUUACAAGCAUCUAUAAAACUGUAAGUAUGAUUUAUAGUUAUUAGGCUUAAGUCAGCUACGCUGCGCGAAAAUCUAAUAGUUCUCAUAUUUUGGUACCACUUUAUCAACACUCUCGACUUUAAACCUUUAAUGUGAAAUUUGAAUCAAGAAAUAUUAAAGCCAACUACAUAAGUAGCACCGACAGAUAUUGAACAAGUGGCUGGCAGCUUUAUAGAAAGAACGUUGUGAGGCAAACCGGCAUUACGCGGCCGCCCGGCUUCCGGUAUUUGCAGCUACGUUCACAGGUCCCUUGUUUACUUUACUCUAUUUCAGCUUCUCAUUUAAAUCGCCUUGAAUCGACACUCUGUUGCUUUUCAAUAAAUGCAACGCUCCAUUGAGCCAUAAGCGCUCAUCGGGUGACCGUGACGUAAGUAAAUUCUCCUGUGGCAUAGUCGUGCCGAAGCGCAAAUACCGCGAGCACUACUCGACUUGGACAAACUCAAAAAACCGCUGUGUUUUUUACCGGUUUGCUAAAGGCGUAGCUAACUCAUCAAACACGAUGAGACAGAUACGCAUCAAAACUUCAAGCCUAUUUAAACCUGAUAACUAUCUCUGUUUGAAACUUACUUUGUAGCAAUUGUGUCCAGCUGUAAUCACACAUAAACAGUUGCAUCAAAUAAUUUACAAAAUUGGUCGGUCAAACAUUAAGUCUUCUUACCAUAGACAGUAUACUUCCUAUAGUGUUCGUUUUUAUUCCGGGAAAUGCGUAAUCGCUCAGGAUACACCUAUAGC